RNAcentral lists this ribosomal RNA (306 nucleotides) under uncultured bacterium. RNAcentral describes it as "bacterial SSU rRNA". It matches the Rfam family "Bacterial small subunit ribosomal RNA", at positions 29 to 355 of the family's 1533-position model. The record is from RNAcentral.
AACGAACGCUGGCGGCAUGCCUAACACAUGCAAGUCGAACGGGAUCCUAGCUUGCUAGGUGAGAGUGGCGGACGGGUGAGUAACACGUGGGAAUCUGCCUUUUGGGUUCGGGAUAACCGCGGGAACUGCGGCUAAUACCGAAUGCCCUCGAGAGAGGAAAGAUUAUCGCCAGAAGAGGAGCCCGCGUCCGAUUAGGUAGUUGGUGGGGUAAAGGCCUACCAAGCCGACGAUCGGUAGCUGGUCUGAGAGGAUGAUCAGCCACACUGGGACUGAGAUACGGCCCAGACUCCUACGGGAGGCAGCAGU